UUUUCACUCCGGUAUUCCCGGUUCUUUUCACCUUUCCCUCACGGUACUCGUUCACUAUCGGUGUCUCAGGAGUAUGUAGCCUUAGCGGAUGGUGCCGCUCGCUUCAGACGGGGUUUCUCCGGCCCCGCCCUACUCAGGGUACCGCUACCGUGAAUCAGAAUUGUCGCUUACCGGGCUCUCACCGUCUAUGGCCUGCUUUCCCAAGCAGUUCAGCUAACUCGAUUCAAUCAGAUGUCGCGGCCCUACAACCCCAAAGUGGCCGUAACCACCUUGGUUUGGGCUCCUCCCCGUUCGCUCGCCACUACUUGGGGAAUCAUUGUUAUUUUCUUUUCCUGCAGGGAACUGAAACAUCUAAGUACC
RNAcentral lists this ribosomal RNA (360 nucleotides) under Anophryoides haemophila. Its description in RNAcentral is "partial Bacterial large subunit ribosomal RNA". The record is from RNAcentral. Lineage: Eukaryota; Ciliophora; Oligohymenophorea; Philasterida; Glauconematidae.